GUACGGAUAGCUAAACAAGUUCGUGAUUUGUUUGAAGAAGGAAGUAUGUCAUUUAUUUAAUCGUCCGAUGAUAACAGGUGUACUUAGAACCAAGUGUUCCACGGCUUCCGAGCAUCGGCAGGUUACCAGACCAUGUCUUGUCGUGUCAUCCAUUUACUUCUGGUUUGCGGUUUAUUGUUGGACUCGUCAGACGGUGCCACUGUUACAGUAGACGAUUUCACGGCAGCUGUCGAUUGUUCCGACCUUGAACUUAAGUGUAACUUUACGUCAGAUAUUACGGAGACGAAAAUAUAUCUUAUAUGGAAGAAUCACCGUGGUCAUCUCAUUUACAGGAUGGAUUUUCAGUCAAAUAAUUACACUUUUGGAUCAAGCUUUGAAUUUGCCAUUUCGAAGAACAAUGGAUUCAGGACAGGGGACAUAACCUUUCCGAAAGCCAACGUGACCAAAGAAAUGGCUGGACCAUAUGUCUGUACAUUUGUAACAAACGCAACCUCUGUAUCAGCCACUGCAAGUAUUGAUGUCCAGUGUAAGUAUUAAGGAGUGGAUCUAGAAUUUAGUUUUUGAAGAAGUACCGAUAGAGAUGGCGAUAGCGAUGGCGAUGUUGGUGUCGGUGUCA
Gigantopelta aegis is the source of this 616-nucleotide long non-coding RNA. RefSeq lists it as uncharacterized. NCBI's taxonomy places the organism in Eukaryota, Metazoa, Mollusca, Gastropoda, Neomphalida, Peltospiridae. The transcript is spliced from 3 exons. The record is from RefSeq and is a predicted model, not a curated record.